ACCAACACAGCAAAAAGCAGCUACAAGAAGUCACAUCGGCAAUUGCAUUCUUAUCUCUUCGGAGCUUCAAAGGUUAAUCUGAUGAUUGUUUCACAUCAGCUAACACAUCUACAAGAUAAUUACAGUACAGAAAUGAUUGUUUCACAUCAGCUUCAAAGGCAAUAUGACAUUUGGUCAUAUUCACCCAAGACUUGACUGUGGUUAGAGAAGCUUCUCUCAUGAUGAUGGCUGCCACAGUGGGUACUGUUGUUGGCCAGCAUAGGUUAGAAAGACCAAACUCCAUAUGCAAU
RNAcentral lists this long non-coding RNA (290 nucleotides) under Musa acuminata (dwarf banana). RNAcentral's name for it is "long non-coding RNA (MACU_LNC001476)". Lineage: Eukaryota; Viridiplantae; Streptophyta; Magnoliopsida; Zingiberales; Musaceae. The record is from RNAcentral.